This 492-nucleotide ribosomal RNA is filed under the name uncultured bacterium. RNAcentral describes it as "partial 16S ribosomal RNA". It matches the Rfam family "Bacterial small subunit ribosomal RNA", at positions 29 to 507 of the family's 1533-position model. The record is from RNAcentral.
AGUGAACGCUGGCGGUAGGCCUAACACAUGCAAGUCGAACGGCAGCACAGUAAGAGCUUGCUCUUACGGGUGGCGAGUGGCGGACGGGUGAGGAAUACAUCGGAAUCUACUUUCUCGUGGGGGAUAACGUAGGGAAACUUACGCUAAUACCGCAUACGACCUACGGGUGAAAGCAGUGGAUCUUCGGACCUUGCGCGAUUGAAUGAGCCGAUGUCGGAUUAGCUAGUUGGCGGGGUAAAGGCCCACCAAGGCGACGAUCCGUAGCUGGUCUGAGAGGAUGAUCAGCCACACUGGAACUGAGACACGGUCCAGACUCCUACGGGAGGCAGCAGUGGGGAAUAUUGGACAAUGGGCGCAAGCCUGAUCCAGCCAUGCCGCGUGGGUGAAGAAGGCCUUCGGGUUGUAAAGCCCUUUUGUUGGGAAAGAAAAGCAGCAGGUUAAUACCCCGCUGUUCUGACGGUACCCAAAGAAUAAGCACCGGCUAACUUCGUG